Molecule: ribosomal RNA, 465 nt
Filed under: uncultured bacterium
Lineage: Bacteria
Description: partial 16S ribosomal RNA
Rfam family: Bacterial small subunit ribosomal RNA
Source: RNAcentral
GACGAACGCUGGCGGCGUGCUUAACACAUGCCAGUCGAACGGAAAGGCCCCUUUGGGGGUACUCGAGUGGCGAACGGGUGAGUAACACGUGAGUAACCUGCCCUUGACUUCGGGAUAACUUCAUGAAACUGAGGCUAAUACCGGAUAGGAAUCCUUGCUGCAUGGUUGGGGGGGGUAAGCUUGUGCGGUUGUGGAUGGAAUCGCGGCUUAUCAGCUUGUUGGUGGGGUAGGGGCUUACCUAGGCAUUGACGGGUAGCCGGCCUGCGAGGGCGACCGGCCACAAUGGGACUGAGAUACGGCCCAGACUCCUACGGGGGGCAGGAGUGGGGAAUAUUGCACCAUGGGCGGGAGCCUGAUGCAGCAACGGCGCGUGCGGGAUGACGGCCUUCGGGUUGUAAACCGCUUUCAGCAGGGGCGAAGCUUGUGGUGACGGUACCUGCAGAAGAAGCACCGGCUAACUACGUG